This 477-nucleotide ribosomal RNA is filed under the name uncultured bacterium. RNAcentral's name for it is "bacterial SSU rRNA". It matches the Rfam family "Bacterial small subunit ribosomal RNA", at positions 62 to 543 of the family's 1533-position model. The record is from RNAcentral.
UCGAGCGGGACCUCGGGAGGGGUAACCCUUCCGAGGGGAGAGCGGCGAACGGGUGAGUAACACGUGGGCAACCUGCCCCGGACACCGGGAUAACUCAGGGAAACCUGGGCUAAUACCGGAUACCUCGGCGUGAUCGCAUGGUCGUGCCGGGAAAGCUCCGACGGUCCGGGAUGGGCCCGCGGCCUAUCAGCUUGUUGGUGGGGUAACGGCCUACCAAGGCGGCGACGGGUAGCUGGUCUGAGAGGACGGCCAGCCACACUGGGACUGAGACACGGCCCAGACUCCUACGGGAGGCAGCAGUAGGGAAUCUUGCGCUAAUGCGCGAAAGCGUGACGCAGCGACGCCGCGUGCGGGAUGAAGGCCCUCGGGUCGUAAACCGCUUUCGGCAGGGACGAAGCGAAAGUGACGGUACCUGCAGAAGAAGUCCCGGCUAACUACGUGCCAGCAGCCGCGGUAACACGUAGGGGACGAGCGUUG